GGUGGAAGGAAACAUCCGUGGGGCCACGAGCUGGGUGCAUUUAGUAACUCUACCCCACGUCCCCUGUGAAAGUCUGAGACCGGGGCCAAAAGCAGCCCCAAUAGGGCCCUCCCUGAGCUUAUGUAAGGUAAGUUCCCAGAGAAGGAACCUCUGGGGCUAGGGCAGAGGGGACAGGAGAUGCCGUGUAUCCGCCCUCGGGGAGAGUCCUAGCAGAUGACCGCUUAACCUGUGCUUGGAACAGACUCGUGGCCUACGUACGAAGUGAGUUCAAUGGCUGAGUUGAGGUACCCUACAUGGGGGCAUUAUAACCCAAUUCAGACUACUUUCCCCCACC
Molecule: RNase P RNA, 334 nt
Filed under: Vicugna pacos (alpaca)
Lineage: Eukaryota; Metazoa; Chordata; Mammalia; Artiodactyla; Camelidae
Description: Nuclear RNase P (ENSVPAG00000017656.1)
Rfam family: Nuclear RNase P
About the family: Ribonuclease P (RNase P) is a ubiquitous endoribonuclease, found in archaea, bacteria and eukarya as well as chloroplasts and mitochondria. Its best characterised activity is the generation of mature 5'-ends of tRNAs by cleaving the 5'-leader elements of precursor-tRNAs.
Source: Rfam by way of RNAcentral